CGGCGUAGCUCAGUGGCUAGAGCGACGGUCUCCAAAACCGAUGGUCGCGGGUUCGAAUCCUGUCGUCG
This 68-nucleotide transfer RNA is filed under the name marine eukaryotic metagenome. It matches the Rfam family "tRNA". Rfam says of the family: Transfer RNA (tRNA) molecules are approximately 80 nucleotides in length. Their secondary structure includes four short double-helical elements and three loops (D, anti-codon, and T loops). The record is from RNAcentral.